RNAcentral lists this ribosomal RNA (472 nucleotides) under uncultured bacterium. RNAcentral describes it as "bacterial SSU rRNA". It matches the Rfam family "Bacterial small subunit ribosomal RNA", at positions 28 to 514 of the family's 1533-position model. The record is from RNAcentral.
GACGAACGCUGGCGGCGUGCCUAACACAUGCAAGUCGAACGGGGUAAUGACUUCGGUUAUUACUUAGUGGCGAACGGGUGAGUAACGCGUGAGAAACCUGCCUUUCAGCGGGGGACAACAGUUGGAAACGACUGCUAAUACCGCAUAAUGUUUCGAGAGGGCAUCCUCUUGAAACCAAAGCUUUAUGUGCUGAAAGAUGGUCUCGCGUCUGAUUAGCUAGUUGGUGAGGUAACGGCUCACCAAGGUAACGAUGCGUAGCCGGACUGAGAGGUUGAACGGCCACACUGGGACUGAGACACGGCCCAGACUCCUACGGGAGGCAGCAGUGGGGGAUAUUGCACAAUGGGGGAAACCCUGAUGCAGCAACGCCGCGUGAAGGAAGAAGGUCUUCGGAUUGUAAACUUCUGUUAGCAGGGACGAAGGACGUGACGGUACCUGCAGAAAAAGCAACGGCUAACUACGUAGCCAGCAG